GAACGCUGGCGGCGUGCCUAACACAUGCAAGUCGAACGAAGCACCGGAAGCUUGCUUCUGGUGACUUAGUGGCGGACGGGUGAGUAACGCGUGGGCAACCUGCCCCAUGGAGCGGGACAACAGUUGGAAACGACUGCUAAUACCGCAUAACGUCAUUUGGGGGCAUCCUUAAAUGACCAAAGGAGCAAUCCGCUGUAAGAUGGCUUCGCGUCCGAUUAGAUAGUUGGCGGGGUAACGGCCCACCAAGUCGACGAUCGGUAGCCGGACUGAGAGGUUGAUCGGCCACAUUGGGACUGAGACACGGCCCAGACUCCUACGGGAGGCAGCAGUGAGGAAUAUUGGUCAAUGGUCUGACGACUGAACCAGCCAUGCCGCGUGAAGGUCACGGCCCUAUGGGUCUUAAACUUCUUUUGUAAGGGAGCAAUAAGUCUCACGUGUGGGAUGAUGAGAGUACCUUACGAAUAAGCAUCGGCUAACUCCGUG
Molecule: ribosomal RNA, 483 nt
Filed under: uncultured bacterium
Lineage: Bacteria
Description: bacterial SSU rRNA
Rfam family: Bacterial small subunit ribosomal RNA
Source: RNAcentral